RNAcentral lists this ribosomal RNA (368 nucleotides) under uncultured soil bacterium. Its description in RNAcentral is "bacterial SSU rRNA". It matches the Rfam family "Bacterial small subunit ribosomal RNA", at positions 26 to 395 of the family's 1533-position model. The record is from RNAcentral.
AGAUUGAACGCUGGCGGCAGGCCUAACACAUGCAAGUCGAGCGGUAGAGAGGUGCUUGCACCUCUUGAGAGCGGCGGACGGGUGAGUAAUGCCUAGGAAUCUGCCUAGUGGUGGGGGAUAACGUUCGGAAACGGACGCUAAUACCGCAUACGUCCUACGGGAGAAAGCGGGGGACCUUCGGGCCUCGCGCCAUUAGAUGAGCCUAGGUCGGAUUAGCUAGUUGGUGAGGUAAUGACUCACCAAGGCGACGAUCCGUAACUGGUCUGAGAGGAUGAUCAGUCACACUGGAACUGAGACACGGUCCAGACUCCUACGGGAGCAGCAGUGGGGAAUAUUGGACAAUGGGGACGAAAGCCUGAUCCAGCCAU